GCUGUGGGUUCCUAGGAGUCAGACUGGCUGGAACAACUUGAUUAGCAGGCUGUUCCAGCCAAUAAGACCACGGAAGGAAGCAACACACAAGUGCUUGGGAGGAUUUGCUGCCUGCCUGUAGUGAACCAAAUUGGCAGAAAAAUCUAUUUUCCAUGCACCAAUUUGCUGGCUUUCAGAAAAUGAGUCAAAGCUCCAUCUGCAAGCAAGUCAACUGAAACCCCAGCCUUCUACAUGCUUUCCUGGUGAGGAUCAAUAAUGAAGGAAUGUUGGUGCCAGGAAUCAACGGCACACUUGGCCAUGUGCCAGGAAGCGUAGGCUGUGCAGCUUCUGAGAAGUUUACAGGAAAACGUGACAUCUUGAAGAUGAAGAAAAGCAGUAAACAACAAGCCUUUCUAGCCUACAAUUUUAAGACCUUGCUUGGAAUCUGCUGCAAAUAAAAUUAGAAUAAAAUAAAGAUGAAAACACUUUU
Hemicordylus capensis (graceful crag lizard) is the source of this 469-nucleotide long non-coding RNA. RefSeq lists it as uncharacterized. The record is from RefSeq and is a predicted model, not a curated record. NCBI's taxonomy places the organism in Eukaryota, Metazoa, Chordata, Lepidosauria, Squamata, Cordylidae. The transcript is spliced from 3 exons.